CAGUGGGGGAGGCGACCUAAUUCCCAGAGGAAGGAAUUGGGCCAAAUCCACUCGGGCUAGGGCGGGCCGUAAUGGCUCCCCCGAGGGACAAAUCCUGCCUAGAACCCGUGAGGGUGAAGGGAUGUUAAGAGCUGCUCACAGUGGCUGGGCCCAGAGGAAGGUCACGGGCUGUGAGCGGUAACAGGGCCGGUCGUACGGGGCCGGGCUGUUACA
Molecule: long non-coding RNA, 213 nt
Filed under: Manihot esculenta (cassava)
Lineage: Eukaryota; Viridiplantae; Streptophyta; Magnoliopsida; Malpighiales; Euphorbiaceae
Description: long non-coding RNA (MESC_LNC006083)
Source: RNAcentral